This 253-nucleotide ribosomal RNA is filed under the name uncultured bacterium. RNAcentral describes it as "partial 16S ribosomal RNA". It matches the Rfam family "Bacterial small subunit ribosomal RNA", at positions 524 to 776 of the family's 1533-position model. The record is from RNAcentral.
UACGUAGGGGGCGAGCGUUGUCCGGAUUUAUUGGGCGUAAAGGGCGCGUAGGCGGAAAGAUAAGUCAGAUGUGAAAUCCCGGGGCUCAACCCCGGAACAGCAUUUGAAACUGUCUUUCUUGAGGGUAGAUGGAGAAAACGGAAUUCCACAAGUAGCGGUGAAAUGCGUAGAUAUGUGGAAGAACAUCAGUGGCGAAGGCGGUUUUCUAAUUUAUACCUGACGCUGAGGCGCGAAAGUAAGGGGAUCAAACAGG